Long non-coding RNA from Gossypium arboreum, 403 nucleotides. RefSeq lists it as uncharacterized. The record is from RefSeq and is a predicted model, not a curated record. The transcript has 3 exons. NCBI's taxonomy places the organism in Eukaryota, Viridiplantae, Streptophyta, Magnoliopsida, Malvales, Malvaceae.
CAGAUAUUUACAGAUGCUAGACAGUAUGUCAUCCACUUUGGAAAGGCUGAUCCCGUCUUAAAGACUGGUCCCGCUAGCAUGAUCCAAGAGUUGGAUGUAAGCCGUUCACUGACUCUAUCAGAGCGAGCAAUUGCUCUUGCUCUUGCUAUUUCAUUGGAUAAUGAUUACUUCUCUAGGCAUGGUGGCUAGGGAAUCCCUUUUGUUGCAAUGGAGGAGUAGAUUGAUUCCUUUGUUUCUCUUUUUUCAAAGAGACCAACAGUUUGGUGUUGCAACGAACAGGCGUUUUCUGUUCCAUGGAAAUAAUGUAUAUAUGCUACUGUUGCUACUAUCAUAUACAUAUCAAAAACUACACCCAGUUUUGUAAUAGUCUACUUGCAUAUUUGCAUAUAUUUAAUAAUAAUCU